GAUAGCCAUGCAUGUGCAAGUGCAAGCCCUUUUAGCACGGUAGAAACUGCGAAUGGCUCAUUAAAUCAGUUAUGGUUGCUUGGAAAGCGAACUUUGCUUAGUUGGAUAGCUGUGGCAAUUCUAGAGCUAAUACAUGCCUCGAAGCUUCGAUUGGUGGGCUUGCUCACCAAGAGAAGCGCUUUUAUUAGAUCAAAGCCGACACUUGAACCGUGUGGUGACUCUGGAUAACUUUGUGCCGAUCGCAUCAGUCCUCGUGACUGGCGACGUAUCCUUCAAGUGUCUGACCUAUCAAGUUUCGAUGGUGAGAGCUGUGCCCACCAUGCUGUUGACGGGUAACGGGGAAUCAGGGUUCGAUUCCGGAGAGGGAGCCUGCGAAACGGCUACCACAUCCAAGGAAGGCAGCAGGNGCGCAAAUUACCCAUUGCUCACCUGAGCGAGGUAGUGACGAGAAAUAACAAUAUCGCGGCCCUAAGUGGUUGUGAUAAUUGGAAUGAGCACACUUUAAAUCCUUUGAAUCGAGGAUCUACUGGAGGGCAAGUCUGGUGCCAGCAGCCGCGGUAAUUCCAGCUCCAGCAGCGUAUACUAGAGUUGUUGCAGUUAAAAAGCUCGUAGUUGGAGUUCGACCCGUGGGGGUGGUUCUGUUUCGCGACAGUUUAACUGCUUUCAUUUGUCCCACGGGGAUGUCGCCGGUGUGUGUGCAAGCACAUGGUGGGUUGGCUUUUUACGUGGCGCAAGUUGCGUGAGGGGUUGAUCUGCCACUGAGCCGAUGCUCUUAAUCGAGUGUCGCUCGGGGCCGGCCGUGUUACUUUGAAAAAAUUAGAGUGUUCAAGGCAGGCUUUUCAAGCCUGAAUACAGCAGCAUGGAAUAACGAA
RNAcentral lists this ribosomal RNA (872 nucleotides) under Nerilla antennata. RNAcentral's name for it is "bacterial SSU rRNA". It matches the Rfam family "Eukaryotic small subunit ribosomal RNA", at positions 42 to 821 of the family's 1831-position model. The record is from RNAcentral. Lineage: Eukaryota; Metazoa; Annelida; Polychaeta; Nerillidae.